UACGUAGGGUGCAAGCGUUAUCCGAAAUUAUUGGGCGUAAAGAGCUCGUAGGCAGUUUGUCGCGUCUGCUGUGAAAACUGGGGGCUCAACCCCCAGCCUGCAGUGGGUACGGGCAGACUAGAGUGCGGUAGGGGAGACUGGAAUUCCGUGGUGUAGCGGUGAAAUGCGCAGAUAUCAGGAGGAACACCGGUGGCGAAGGCGGGUCUCUGGGCCGUAACUGACGCUUGGAGGAGCGAAA
This 238-nucleotide ribosomal RNA is filed under the name uncultured bacterium. Its description in RNAcentral is "partial 16S ribosomal RNA". It matches the Rfam family "Bacterial small subunit ribosomal RNA", at positions 524 to 758 of the family's 1533-position model. The record is from RNAcentral.